Aotus nancymaae (Ma's night monkey) is the source of this 141-nucleotide small nuclear RNA. Its record names the gene U4. It matches the Rfam family "U4 spliceosomal RNA". Rfam says of the family: U4 small nuclear RNA (U4 snRNA) is a component of the major U2-dependent spliceosome. NCBI's taxonomy places the organism in Eukaryota, Metazoa, Chordata, Mammalia, Primates, Aotidae. The record is from Ensembl.
AGCUUUAUGCAGUGGCAGUAUCGUAGCCAAUGAGGUUUAUCUGAGGCGAGAUAAUUGAUAAUUGAAAACUUUUCCCAAUACCCUGCUGUGACGACUUGCAAUAUAGUCAGCAUUGGCAAUUUUUGACAGUCUAUAUGGAGA